RNAcentral lists this transfer RNA (73 nucleotides) under Caldifarciminota bacterium. RNAcentral describes it as "tRNA-Ala". It matches the Rfam family "tRNA". Rfam says of the family: Transfer RNA (tRNA) molecules are approximately 80 nucleotides in length. The record is from RNAcentral. Lineage: Bacteria; Pseudomonadati; Caldifarciminota. RNAcentral also lists the same sequence under 1 other name.
GGGGCUGUAGCUCAGUUGGGAGAGCGCAGGAAUCGCACUCCUGAGGCCGGGGGUUCGAAUCCCCCCAGCUCCA